RNAcentral lists this ribosomal RNA (497 nucleotides) under uncultured bacterium. Its description in RNAcentral is "partial 16S ribosomal RNA". It matches the Rfam family "Bacterial small subunit ribosomal RNA", at positions 28 to 507 of the family's 1533-position model. The record is from RNAcentral.
GAUGAACGCAAGCGGCGUGCCUAAUACAUGCAAGUCGAGCGAACGGACGAGAAGCUUGCUUCUCUGAUGUUAGCGGCGGACGGGUGAGUAACACGUGGAUAACCUACCUAUAAGACUGGGAUAACUUCGGGAAACCGUAGCUAAUACCGGAUAAUAUUUUGAACCGCAUGGUUCAAAAGUGAAAGACGGUCUUGCUGUCACUUAUAGAUGGAUCCGCGCUGCAUUAGCUAGUUGGUAAGGUAACGGCUUACCAAGGCAACGAUGCAUAGCCGACCUGAGAGGGUGAUCGGCCACACUGGAACUGAGACACGGUCCAGACUCCUACGGGAGGCAGCAGUAGGGAAUCUUCCGCAAAGGGCGAAAGCCUGACGGAGCAACGCCGCGUGAGUGAUGAAGGUCUUCGGAUCGUAAAACUCUGUUAUUAGGGAAGAACAUAUGUGUAAGUAACUGUGCACAUCUUGACGGUACCUAAUCAGAAAGCCACGGCUAACUACGUG